Molecule: ribosomal RNA, 207 nt
Filed under: Escherichia coli
Lineage: Bacteria; Pseudomonadati; Pseudomonadota; Gammaproteobacteria; Enterobacterales; Enterobacteriaceae
Description: partial 16S ribosomal RNA
Rfam family: Bacterial small subunit ribosomal RNA
Source: RNAcentral
AAAUUGAAGAGUUUGAUCAUGGCUCAGAUUGAACGCUGGCGGCAGGCCUAACACAUGCAAGUCGAACGGUAACAGGAAACAGCUUGCUGUUUCGCUGACGAGUGGCGGACGGGUGAGUAAUGUCUGGGAAACUACCUGAUGGAGGGGGAUAACUACUGGAAACGGUAGCUAAUACCGCAUAACGUCGCAAGACCAAAGAGGGGGACC